UUCCGGUUGAUCCUGCCGGACCCUACCGCUAUCGGGAUAGGACUAAGACAUGCGAGUUGAGCGUCUUGAACAAUGUCAAGGCGCAGCGUACGGCUCAGUAACACGUGGCUAACCUACCCUUAGGACAGGGAUAAACCCGGGAAACUGGGGUUAAUAUCUGAUUUGUGAGGAAAUCUGGAAUGAUUCUUCACCAAAAGGAUUUUGAUGACAUGUUCUUCAAAGUCGCCUAAGGAUGGGGCCGCGGUCGAUCAGGUUGUUGGUGAGGUAAUGGCCCACCAAGCCUUUGACCGAUACGGGCCGUGAGAGCGGGAGCCCGGAGAUGGGCACUGAGAUAAGGGCCCAGACCCUAUGGGGUGCAGCAGUCGCGAAACCUCCGCAAUGCGCGAAAGCGUGACGGGGUUAUCCCGAGUGCCGUCCGCUGAGGAUGGCUUUUCUUCAGUGUAAUGAGUUGGAGGAAUAAGGGGAGGGCAAGACUGGUGUCAGCCGCCGCGGUAAUACCAGCUCCUCGAGUGGUAGGGAUGAUUAUUGGGCUUAAAGCGUCCGUAGCUGUCUUGAUAAGUCCCCCGUUAAAUCCAGCGACCUAAUCGCUGGUCUGCGGGGGAUACUGUCAAGCUAGGGGGCGGAAGAGGCCGAUGGUAUUUUUGGGGUAGGGGGUGAAAUCCUAUAAUCCCAAGAGGACCACCAGUGGCGAAGGCGAUCGGCUAGUACGUGCUCGACGGUGAUGGACGAAAGCUGGGGGAGCGAACCGGAUUAGAUACCCGGGUAGUCCCAGCCGUAAACGUUGCGGGUUAGUGUUGGAAUGGUUACGAACCGUUUCAGUGCCGCAGAGAAAUCGUUAAACCCGCGCCUGGGAGUACGGCCGCAAGGCUGAAACUAAGGAAUGCGGGGGAGCACUACAGGCGUGAGCUGCGUCAUGGAUCAACGCCGG
This 928-nucleotide ribosomal RNA is filed under the name uncultured archaeon. RNAcentral's name for it is "bacterial SSU rRNA". It matches the Rfam family "Archaeal small subunit ribosomal RNA", at positions 1 to 921 of the family's 1478-position model. The record is from RNAcentral.